GACUCCUGUUUUGUCAUUAAUCCAACAUGAAAACAUAUUGAAGCUCAUUGAUCAUUAUGAGAAAAAGUGAGUUCUUUCUUUCCACCUGAACAGAAAAAAAAAGGAAAAAAAAAGGAAAAGGAAGAAGACUUUAGAUCCAAAUUGAACUAUCUUCUAGUUUUGGCUGCCUUUCCAUGAUAAAGAAGAGAAACAAAUUGCAAACGGAUUUUGGGAUUAAAACAAAAGUUUUAAAAAUGUACUGCAGUUUUUGGAGGCUUCUAGCAACAAAUGGAGUAAAAAAUCAUUCAUGAAACCAAGGAACAGACUAAAGCCACACAAAUAGAAAAAAAAAGAAAAAAGAAACAAGAAGAGAUUAAUCAUAUUUUUGCUAUACAGUUACAAACUCAUAUCUACAUAUAGCAGAUAAUAAAACCCAAAAAAUAAAAUGAAAGCAAACAAGAAGUAGCUGCUUCCAAGUAGCAAGUAAUGAAGAGCAGUCCAAACCCAAAAGCCUAGUCAUGCCAGCAUAGAAGCGUAACAAUACAUCUUCUUAUUAUGUAGAGCCUACCUCUUUGUUCUUUAAGGAACCCACCAACUCCUUUACAUGAUAACUUUCUUUUAGAAUCACUAACACUUGAACUUUUAAUCUCCAUUUUCUCUUUAAAUCUCCUCUCUCAAUAUCUCACUGUUGUUGUUGUUGUUGUUUUUCUUUCCCCCCUUUUCCCGUCCUUUUUUCUUGGCUUCAAGACUUCAACGAACUUUAGUCCUUUCUUUCUAUGAUUUCUUGUGAAUGGAUCAUUUUUGGGUUCUGGGGUGUGAGGAGAGGUACAGCUUGGGGAUAAUGAUUGAAAUUUUGCAUGAAAAGAGCAAGAAAGGGGGUUCUUAUAGGGAAACUUGGAAUGAUAGUGAGUGGUCCAGGCUCCCCUGGGCCCAAUAUCUCAUUAAAAAGGACAAACAAUGGUUUGCUGAUGGGAUCUAAAAUGCCUCUAUGCACUCUGGCACUGCACUUUCGGCCCC
This 996-nucleotide long non-coding RNA is filed under the name Citrus maxima (pomelo). Its description in RNAcentral is "long non-coding RNA (CMAX_LNC004093)". The record is from RNAcentral. Lineage: Eukaryota; Viridiplantae; Streptophyta; Magnoliopsida; Sapindales; Rutaceae.